CCCCCUGCUCGUCUGUACGAAUCUGGGUGGAGCUGCCCUGGUCCCGCCUCCUAGCAUCAUCUCCUAGCAUCAAGCUAACAGAGCCUCGUGCAGCUCGUCUCAUUCAGUUAGCUGCGUCCAGGUGUUUGAGCGCCCCCCCCACCAGGUGGAGGCUGCCAGCGAUGAGGAUGUGGAUCUCAGAGGCAUCACAGAGCGGAGCAGCUUUAGCGUUGAUGCUAGGUUUCAACGGCAGGACUCUGUUAGCCGGGUCAGUCAGAACCGGAUCCCGACCCUGAGUGAUCCACUGCAGGGCGCUGAGGAUGCAGGGGAACACCAGCGUGUCCGUCGUCGUCUUCUUCGGGAGACUGUCCUCAAUCAGCAGCUGGGAGCCUUUGUUAGAAGCCUGGCUGUUGUGGAGACACCAGCUCCUCUCGUUGUCCAGGCAGCGGGUCAGCAUGUUCUCCACCGACACGUUGAAGUUCUGCUGGUCUGAGAGGCGACACCAUGAACAAGGUUCAAUGAUCUCACCUGCAUUGCAUGAAGCCAUGGCCUCGGUGAUGUUCGGGCAGAAGACAGCAAAGUCAAACUGACACGGCUGAAAAGAGAGAGGACAUGAGAGGUGUGCUUGCACAGGUGAAGGGGGCGGGGCUAAGGCUUUAAGUUGGAGGUGCGGUGUGUGACGGGAGGGCAGCAGCAAUACCGUCAUCGACACGCAGACGCAACCUUAUGCUUCGUAAAAUACAGAUUACUAGGAUCUGCUGUUUAAGUUUACGUUACAUAUUGUUUUCGUAUUUUGUUUAAUGUUUGCUGGAAAUAAACCUUGAAAAGCAACCGAAA
Long non-coding RNA from Notothenia coriiceps (black rockcod), 816 nucleotides. RefSeq lists it as uncharacterized. The record is from RefSeq and is a predicted model, not a curated record. NCBI's taxonomy places the organism in Eukaryota, Metazoa, Chordata, Actinopteri, Perciformes, Nototheniidae. The transcript has 4 exons.